RNAcentral lists this long non-coding RNA (2184 nucleotides) under Bos indicus x Bos taurus (hybrid cattle). RNAcentral describes it as "lncRNA (ENSBIXG00000001274.1)". Lineage: Eukaryota; Metazoa; Chordata; Mammalia; Artiodactyla; Bovidae. The record is from RNAcentral.
UGCUUAGGUCACCCAGGCUUGAUCACCCCUGCAGGAUCAGACAUCCCUCAUGGAUUAAAAUAGAUCUGAAAAUAUAACUUCUUACAACAGCAGAAAAAUAGCAAGGAAAGAAGAGCUUGAGUCAAAAUACAACUUUAAAGUGCUCUUUUUCUUGGAACAUCUGACAUUUAAAACUCAUCAUCUCUUGCCACUUGAGCCUCAAUGUUGACCUCAGAGAUUUUAUAGAAGAUACAGGAUUUAGAGGGCAAAAAAGACGCAAGAAGGCAGGGUGAUUGAGAGUGAAGAGUCGAGGUAUAACUUGGGCUUGAGGUUGUUAAUUUCAGACCAAGAGCAGGAAGGAUGUAUCAAAAAGGAAAAGGAUGCAUGACUGACUAAAAGGCAAGGGCUGAGUGGUGAUGAGAGCAGCGAUGUUACUGCUGCAAAGAUGACGAAGAUGGAUGAGGCUGAAGGGCAGAGCCCGGAAGAGUGAGGAAGGGACAUUUCUACAGUGAUACCUGGGACCUAUUCAGUGCAUGAGUAACUUCAAAGUAUCAUUAAUGAAAAAUAAAAACAGCAUCUUCCCAGCAUAUCAAAUUUGUUUGCCUUUGUGGUCUUUUUCAGGAGAAUGGACAGAUUUAGAGAGACAGGAGUCCAUCAAGGACCCCUAUAAAUAACUCUGAAGCUGCUGCUCGUGUAGAACUGCUGAAGCAUGGCUGCCAAACACGCUUUUCCUUUUGGGAGAAAGGAGAAGUGUUCGGCAUUGGCAGAUCUUUUUGUUUUCUUUUUGGCCACACCGUGCAGCAUGCGGGAUCUCACUUCUCUGACUGGGGAUCGGAACCCUUGCCUCCCGCAGUCGAAAGUGCAGAGUCUUAACCGGUGGGCGCCGGGAAAGUCCCAGCGUCCGCAGACCUCAUCUUGACUUUAACCGAGUUAGGACACCUUCCUUCAAGAUGGUUCUCCUUCCCAGUCGAAAAACACUAGAGACCUGGGCCCAGGAUGUUGGCCCACGGGGGCGCAGAUUUUCAUUCUUCACGUCCUUUCUCUCAUUAACCUGGUGGACUUUCUGGAAUUUAGAAAUUCUUGCAGCAGCAGGACCUGAAGCUCGUCACAGCAGGCCUCCCCACGGGAUGCUUACCCUCUCAGGACUGGCUCCCGGUGACAAAGCCCUCUGUUCCAAGGAACCACUGGCUGUUGGUGGGUUCUGAGCUGUGGAUGUUCGUUGCUACAAAGUACAAAGUGGAGGCUUUCUUCUGGGAGUCUGUUUAAAAAAAUUUUUUUUUUUUUUGCUCUGUUUUUAAGAGACAUUCAGUAGCUACAAUUCUUGGCCACGUCAUAAGGGUAGACAGUAGACAGUCAGGCACUUCCAAAAGGUCUUACCUGCCGUGUUGAAGUGUUUGGCCACAGGAGAAUGAGGGAUGCGGCCGUCGUGUUGCUGCCCACAGCCUGCGUAUCUGUUCCUUUUCACCCCACUGUGGUCCCUUCCUGAGCCUGGACAGGACGAAUGGCUGUGGUUCUAAGGCCUCUCAGAGCCUCGCUUGUUCCCUUGUCAACGACAAAGGCAUGAUUUCUCAUUUUACAGGAAUUCCUUUUAUUAUCCUGAUAUGGAAGAUUGGUGUUCAAGAGAGGGACGUUUCUUCACAUGAAAGUAAAACCAAACUCAGUUGAAGUUAUCAUUAACGCAUGGUUCUGAAACGGAGACAAAAGACGUCCGGGUGUUUUUAAAAGUUCGGGUGUCUAAUAUACAAGGUACUGGAUAUUUUUUAUAGUAAUAGCCAUCCUGUACAAAGUAGACUAAGAUUCUAUGGAGAGUCCUUUAAAUCUCUGUAGAACGAGCCUCUAGAAUUCCGACGUAUUUGAAAACAAAGACUCUGAUAUUAACAACAGGACUCUGCUGGCUGAUUCCACUUUAAAUGGAUGACUGGUCCUGACUUCAGUACCAUAUGCCUUUGUACCUCAUCACACCGUCGUCUCUCCUGUGUCAGUGAAUGACUCUCAGGUUGACAGUGCUGACAAUGACUGCAAAAAAUGUGCUGUUGAGUUUGGCCGUAAUGUCCUAAUUUUCAUACUCAUGGCUCUCAGGAUGUAGUUGAGGGCGCACAUCCAUCCUUCGUGUCGUGAGAGCUCUGUCUUUAACCGCUUAAUGAAAUAGAAAGCAAACUUUCCAAGAGAGGCUGAACAGCAACACAUCCUGCAGAUGAAAUAAGG